GUAUGCAACUUUGUAUCACCUUAUUUACGACCAAGAGACGCAAACAUAGAAGAAGAAAUAACAGACUUAAUCUUUAGACACCUAUAGAACUAAAUAAUAUAAACUAUCCACCCUCAACUUUCUUGAUGCGUGUAUAGAACAGCAGUAUGCUUCUGAUGGACGGGCUUCAUGGCCUUAUUCAUAACGAACACCAGAUCAAUGACACCCGGACAUUGAAUAGGCAUAUAAAGAAAAGAGAACUGGGAACUGUAGAGCAUCUUGAUUCGUAUCCAAACGAAAUUUUGUAGCCAAAAAGAAAGCCUCCAGAAACUAAAGAUUAUAUUGCGAAAGAUUCGGCCAAAAGUUGUUUUGUAAAUCUAACUGGUAAAUUCUCGUCUAGCAAUUAACGGUGUACAAAUAUUCAUCAUUUACAUGCAAAGUUCACGCUCACCUCAGCAGAUGGUCUUGGAAAAUUUUGAAGUGACUAUUGUAUCAGCAGUGCCCUGGACAUCAGUACAGAUAAGAUGAAACCUUUUGUAUGCAAGUUAAUGCCGGUAAAGAUCUUGCUUAAUAAGUGUGAAAGCUUACUUGUCAAUUUUCACUAAUAGAUCCAACACCUAUCUGAUAAAAAAGUUGCAUUACGCCUGCUAAACUACUUUUGUGUACAAGAUGCUCACUAGGUGCAGUUAACAAAAGAAAAAAGAGGAAAACGUCUGGGAAUGAGAGAACGCCAAUCAAGAACCUUCUGGAAUGAGAUAACCUGAUUCUGGAAAUAAUCUGACAAGGGGUGUGCUUGCUCCAUGUUUCACAGGGAAUUAAAACCUUUACAAACUGAUAAAAUAUAUUAAUUUCGUUAAAAUAAAUGAUGGCAAAGACUCAGAGAGACAGCUAUGAUUAGAAGGCAUAUGACUACCAAAUCACACAAAUUCAAGUUCUAUUAUAAUAAAUAAAGCAUUCAGUUUCACAAGAAUAGUAAGUUUAUAUUAAAUAAUUAUGUUGUUUUCACUUUCCUCCAUGUAUACAGAGCGGUUUACAAAUGAAAAUAUCCAUGAAAACUAAUAGCACAAAAACAAGAAAGGUGUGCAGUGAACAAAUGUCAUAUUCCAUUACCAUUCUUUUAUUUUCGAACUAUGUCUAUGGCAUCGAGUAAAAAACUAGGAUAAAAAUAAGCAUAAGGAUGACUGUUGACUCAUUAAAAUGUUACAUCAUUCUCUUUGAUAUUUAUGAAACCGUCUAAUAAUGAGGUAGCUUAAAAGUCUUCUUUUACCUUAAUAUAUUUGUUGACAUUAUUAGGCUGCAGGUUCAUAGAUACGUAACUAACAUAAACCCAUAACCAAGGUUUAAAAAGGCGGAAAUGGGUAUCGAGGCGUUUUCUCUUAGCCUCAUGAGGCGUAAGCCUCGAGGCAGGUCGAGGCGUAAGCCUCGAAACAUUAUUAAAAAUGUUAAAAAAAUAUAUAUAUCUCUCUCAUAAAAAUCACAAAGUAACACAAAACAAACAUGAUAAAUAGAAAAUAGUUCAACAAACAAGGUUUAACAUAAAACAAACAUCAUAAAAUAGUUCGAACAACUUAAAUUAGUAAUGUUAUGACAUCUAAAUAUCAUAGAACUCGUUUUCCUCCGCAUCAUCAUCCUCAAAGUUUUCAUCUGGCGUAUUUAGAUCAUCAUCUUCAUCAACCAAAUUAAUAACUCUUUUCCUUUUCAUCCUAGAUGAUGAACUCUCACCUUCUUCCUCAUUUGACCCGCCAACUCCACCAAUGCCAUCUUCAUCCCCACUCGGGUUGGCUAUCCACUCAUCAUCCGAUUAGGUUUUUUUAACCUAAUAGAUGUUUUUAAGUGAACUAUUGGGUUGGCCCACCAAUUAAGCCCAAUAAACACUAAAUGGGUCUAACAUAAAGUUCGAAAAACCUAAAAUUUUUCAAUUUUCACAAGGUCUAGUCACUCUAGUGAGGCUUAAGCCUCACUGCCUCGCCUCACCGCCUCGAAAAGCCUCGGAUGACUGAGGCUUAGGUUUCAGUUGACCCCUAUGAGGCUAAGCCUUUAAGGCGUUUUUUCAUAGCCUCAGCCGAGGCGUAAGCCUCGAGGCGGGCCUCGGAAAGCCUUUUCAAACCAUGCCCAUAACGGUCACCUGCGUUAGUAAUAAAUACGGACAUGAUACAUGCAAAAAUUACCAUAUUAUUUCCAUGUUAUUCAUGAUGAACCAUGCUCAAAGACAUGAUUAAAACGUAGAGACAUGUGUGACUGCAUAGUUUAACGAGAAUCAUUUUUCUAUGCUGAGACUAUUUACUUCACUUCCACUAUUUUGUUAAAUAAUUUCGAUUAGCAUGUUGCCAACUACAUGCACCACUGUAUCCUUGUGAAAUCGUGAUCUAAGAUGUAAUACAAGGUUUCAGGCCUAACAUUCAUGACCAAUUACAAAGUAACGUACAAAAAAUGUAGUGCCAAUGUGCCAUACUGACAUAUGAGGUCUUAAAGAGUGGGCAACAAGAUAAGAAUAGUAAAAAAAAAAGAAUUAAAAAAACCUACACUUGCAAAGGGUAAUUAAGCUCACAAACAUGAUCAAACCACAAAUCUCCAUAUAUAGCUAUAAAGACCGAGUAGAUCAAUUUUCAGAAAACCAGUAUUAUAGGCAUCUAAACCUAAUAAUAGCUACAAAGCAAUCCAGUACACAUUUCAAAUAACAAAAUUUAUCUUGCAGAUUCUAAACACCAAAACUUCCAUAACUAAACAAUAUAACAUACACAACAAAAUGUAGAGAGAUAAUCAAGCUCCAAAUCAUAAUCAUAUUUCUAUAAAGACCGAGUAGAUCAAUUUGCAGAAGACAACUACUAUAGGCAUCUAAACCUAAUAUAGUUACAAAGCAAUAACAAAACAUAUCUUUCAGAUUAUAAACACCAAAAUUUCCAUACCCAAACAAUAUAGCAUAUACGACAGAAGGAAAAGAGGUAAAUGCAACUUCCUAAUUAGGUGCACAUAUCAAACAAAAUCAACCUCCAAAUCCCAAUCAUACCUCUACAAAGCUCAUCAAUUCACAUAACACCUCAAAACAUACUACAAAUAUAUAUAUAUACCUAAUUCCAAACAUCUCUCCACCUACGCCUAAACCAGAUCUAAUUACGAUUCCAACCGUUACUAACAAAUCAAGCUGUAAACGACACUCCAAAAACCCUAAAAGCCAUUAUCGUUCGCAUCUAAACCUAAUGAUAGCUACAGAAAAUCCAGUAUACAUCACAAAUAACAAAACAUAUCUUUCAGAUUCUAAACACCAAAACUUCCAUAACUAUACAACACAACAUCCAUAACAAAAGGUAAAGAGGUAAAUGCAACUUCUUAAUUAGGCACAAAUCAUGAUCAUAUCUCUAUGAGAUUCAUCAAUCCACAUAACACCUCAAAACAAUCUGAAAAUCUAUACCUAAUUCCAAACUAAACAAUAUAAACAAAAUCAGCCUCCAAAUCAUAAUUAUAUCUCUAAUUAGGUACAAAUAUUCAACAAAUCUAUACCUAAUUCCAGAUCGAAUUCAGAUUUCAAUCGUAGCUAACGAAUCCAGCUGUAAAUCACAUUUCAGAAACCCUAGAAACCAGAUCUAUAACCUACUCAACGAAAAGGAAAUGGAGAUCUGAGGUAACGUAUCAAAGAAGAAAGAAUGAUGAAAUUGAAAAUGAAAAAGGAGGAGAAUGAAGGUACCUGUAGGGUUAACGGCAUAACCUAAAGGUAGCCAGAGGAGGGAACCAGAGCGUGUGAAACAAUCAGAGAGAGAUGAGAAGAUACC
Molecule: long non-coding RNA, 3746 nt
Filed under: Helianthus annuus (common sunflower)
Lineage: Eukaryota; Viridiplantae; Streptophyta; Magnoliopsida; Asterales; Asteraceae
Description: hypothetical non coding rna
Source: RNAcentral